This 192-nucleotide ribosomal RNA is filed under the name Salmonella enterica subsp. enterica serovar Agona str. SH08SF124. Its description in RNAcentral is "partial 23S ribosomal RNA". It matches the Rfam family "Bacterial large subunit ribosomal RNA", at positions 2741 to 2925 of the family's 2925-position model. Lineage: Bacteria; Pseudomonadati; Pseudomonadota; Gammaproteobacteria; Enterobacterales; Enterobacteriaceae. The record is from RNAcentral.
CCCGGUAGCUAAAUGCGGAAGAGAUAAGUGCUGAAAGCAUCUAAGCACGAAACUUGCCCCGAGAUGAGUUCUCCCUGAGACUUAGAGUCUCCUGAAGGAACGUUGAAGACGACGACGUUGAUAGGCCGGGUGUGUAAGCGCAGCGAUGCGUUGAGCUAACCGGUACUAAUGAACCGUGAGGCUUAACCUUAC